RNAcentral lists this ribosomal RNA (1372 nucleotides) under uncultured bacterium. RNAcentral describes it as "bacterial SSU rRNA". It matches the Rfam family "Bacterial small subunit ribosomal RNA", at positions 28 to 1381 of the family's 1533-position model. The record is from RNAcentral.
GAUGAACGCUGGCGGCGUGCCUAAUACAUGCAAGUCGAGCGAACGGACGAGAAGCUUGCUUCUCUGAUGUUAGCGGCGGACGGGUGAGUAACACGUGGAUAACCUACCUAUAAGACUGGGAUAACUUCGGGAAACCGGAGCUAAUACCGGAUAAUAUUUUGAACCGCAUGGUUCAAAAGCAAAAGACGGUCUUGCUGUCACUUAUAGAUGGAUCCGCGCUGCAUUAGCUAGUUGGUAAGGUAACGGCUUACCAAGGCAACGAUGCAUAGCCGACCUGAGAGGGUGAUCGGCCACACUGGAACUGAGACACGGUCCAGACUCCUACGGGAGGCAGCAGUAGGGAAUCUUCCGCAAUGGGCGAAAGCCUGACGGAGCAACGCCGCGUGAGUGAUGAAGGUCUUCGGAUCGUAAAACUCUGUUAUUAGGGAAGAACAUAUGUGUAAGUAACUGUGCACAUCUUGACGGUACCUAAUCAGAAAGCCACGGCUAACUACGUGCCAGCAGCCGCGGUAAUACGUGGGUGGCAAGCGUUAUCCGGAAUUAUUGGGCGUAAAGCGCGCGUAGGCGGUUUUUUAAGUCUGAUGUGAAAGCCCACGGCUCAACCGUGGAGGGUCAUUGGAAACUGGAAAACUUGAGUGCAGAAGAGGAAAGUGGAAUUCCAUGUGUAGCGGUGAAAUGCGCAGAGAUAUGGAGGAACACCAGUGGCGAAGGCGACUUUCUGGUCUGUAACAGACGCUGAUGUGCGAAAGCGUGGGGAUCAAACAGGAUUAGAUACCCUGGUAGUCCACGCCGUAAACGAUGAGUGCUAAGUGUUAGGGGGUUUCCGCCCCUUAGUGCUGCAGCUAACGCAUUAAGCACUCCGCCUGGGGAGUACGACCGCAAGGUUGAAACUCAAAGGAAUUGACGGGGACCCGCACAAGCGGUGGAGCAUGUGGUUUAAUUCGAAGCAACGCGAAGAACCUUACCAAAUCUUGACAUCCUUUGACAACUCUAGAGAUAGAGCCUUCCUCUUCGGGGGACAAAGUGACAGGUGGUGCAUGGUUGUCGUCAGCUCGUGUCGUGAGAUGUUGGGUUAAGUCCCGCAACGAGCGCAACCCUUAAGCUUAGUUGCCAUCAUUAAGUUGGGCACUCUAAGUUGACUGCCGGUGACAAACCGGAGGAAGGUGGGGAUGACGUCAAAUCAUCAUGCCCCUUAUGAUUUGGGCUACACACGUGCUACAAUGGACAAUACAAAGGGCAGCGAAACCGCGAGGUCAAGCAAAUCCCAUAAAGUUGUUCUCAGUUCGGAUUGUAGUCUGCAACUCGACUACAUGAAGCUGGAAUCGCUAGUAAUCGUAGAUCAGCAUGCUACGGUGAAUACGUUCCCGGGUCU